GACGGAGGACGCAAGUGUUAUCCGGAAUCACUGGGCGUAAAGCGUCUGUAGGUGGUUUAAUAAGUCAACUGUUAAAUCUUGAAGCUUAACUUCAAAAUCGCAGUCGAAACUAUUAGACUUGAGUAUAGUAGGGGUAAAGGGAAUUUCCAGUGGAGCGGUGAAAUGCGUAGAGAUUGGAAAGAACACCGAUGGCGAAGGCACUUUACUGGGCUAUUACUGACACUCAGAGACGAAAGCUAGGGUAGCAAAUGGG
RNAcentral lists this ribosomal RNA (253 nucleotides) under uncultured bacterium. RNAcentral's name for it is "partial 16S ribosomal RNA". It matches the Rfam family "Bacterial small subunit ribosomal RNA", at positions 524 to 776 of the family's 1533-position model. The record is from RNAcentral.